Molecule: ribosomal RNA, 433 nt
Filed under: uncultured bacterium
Lineage: Bacteria
Description: partial 16S ribosomal RNA
Rfam family: Bacterial small subunit ribosomal RNA
Source: RNAcentral
AGCGAACGCUGGCGGCAGGCCUAACACAUGCAAGUCGAACGAACUCUUCGGAGUUAGUGGCGGACGGUUGAGUAACACGUGGGAACGUGCCUUUUGGUUCGGAAUAACUCAGGGAAACUUGUGCUAAUACCGAAUGUUCCCUUCGGGGGAAAGAUUUAUCGCCAUUAGAGCGGCCCGCGUCUGAUUAGCUAGUUGGUGAGGUAACGGCUCACCAAGGCGACGAUCAGUAGCUGGUCUGAGAGGAUGACCAGCCACACUGGGACUGAGACACGGCCCAGACUCCUACGGGAGGCAGCAGUGGGGAAUCUUGCGCAAUGGGCGAAAGCCUGACGCAGCCAUGCCGCGUGAAUGAUGAAGGUCUUAGGAUUGUAAAAUUCUUUCACCGGGGACGAUAAUGACGGUACCCGGAGAAGAAGCCCCGGCUAACUUCGUG